GGUCGAGCGGGGGAAGGUAGCUUGCUACUGGACCUAGCGGCGGACGGGUGAGUAAUGCUUAGGAAUCUGCCUAUUAGUGGGGGACAACAUCUCGAAAGGGAUGCUAAUACCGCAUACGUCCUACGGGAGAAAGCAGGGGAUCUUCGGACCUUGGCGCUAAUAGAUGAGCCUAAGUCGGAUUAGCUAGUUGGUGGGGUAAAGGCCUACCAAGGCGACGAUCUGUAGCGGGUCUGAGAGGAUGAUCCGCCACACUGGGACUGAGACACGGCCCAGACUCCUACGGGAGGCAGCAGUGGGGAAUAUUGGACAAUGGGGGGAACCCUGAUCCAGCCAUGCCGCGUGUGUGAAGAAGGCCUUAUGGUUGUAAAGCACUUUAAGCGAGGAGGAGGCUACUUUAGUUAAUACCUAGAGAUAGUGGACGUUACUCGCAGAAUAAGCACCGGCUAACUCUGUGCCAGCAGCCGCGGUAAUACAGAGGGUGCGAGCGUUAAUCGGAUUUACUGGGCGUAAAGCGUGCGUAGGCGGCUUAUUAAGUCGGAUGUGAAAUCCCCGAGCUUAACUUGGGAAUUGCAUUCGAUACUGGUGAGCUAGAGUAUGGGAGAGGAUGGUAGAAUUCCAGGUGUAGCGGUGAAAUGCGUAGAGAUCUGGAGGAAUACCGAUGGCGAAGGCAGCCAUCUGGCCUAAUACUGACGCUGAGGUACGAAAGCAUGGGGAGCAAACAGGAUUAGAUACCCUGGUAGUCCAUGCCGUAAACGAUGUCUACUAGCCGUUGGGGCCUUUGAGGCUUUAGUGGCGCAGCUAACGCGAUAAGUAGACCGCCUGGGGAGUACGGUCGCAAGACUAAAACUCAAAUGAAUUGACGGGGGCCCGCACAAGCGGUGGAGCAUGGUGGUUUAAUUCGAUGCAACGCGAAGAACCUUACCUUGGCCUUGACAUACUAGAAACUUUUCCAGAGAUGGAUUGGUUGUCUUCGGGAAUCUAGAUACAGGUGCUGCAUGGCU
RNAcentral lists this ribosomal RNA (1001 nucleotides) under Acinetobacter baumannii. RNAcentral describes it as "bacterial SSU rRNA". It matches the Rfam family "Bacterial small subunit ribosomal RNA", at positions 60 to 1050 of the family's 1533-position model. The record is from RNAcentral. Lineage: Bacteria; Pseudomonadati; Pseudomonadota; Gammaproteobacteria; Moraxellales; Moraxellaceae.